AAUAGAUACCCCGGUAGUCCAUGCUGUAAACGAUGAGAACUAGAUGUUAGGGGGCAUGACCUCUUAGUAUCGAAGCUAACGCGAUAAGUUCUCCGCCUGGGGAGUACGGCCGCAAGGUUAAAACUCAAAGAAAUUGACGGGGGCCCGCACAAGCGGUGGAGCAUGUGGUUUAAUUCGAUGCAACGCGAAGAACCUUACCUACCUUUGAAUCCACGGAACCUAGCAGAGAUGUUGGGGUGCCUUCGGGAACCGUGAGACAGGUGCUGCAUGGCUGUCGUCAGCUCGUGUCGUGAGAUGUUGGGUUAAGUCCCGUAACGAGCGCAACCCUUGUCCUUAGUUGCCAUCAGGUUAUGCUGGGCACUUUAAGGAGACUGCCGGUGAUAAACCGGAGGAAGGUGGGGAUGACGUCAAGUCCUCAUGGCCCUUACAGGUAGGGCUACACACGUGCUACAAUGGGCAGUACAGAGGGAAGCCAAACCCGGCGAGGGGGGAGCGAAUCUCAUAAAGCUGUUCGUAGUCCGGAUUGGAGUCUGCAACUCGACU
RNAcentral lists this ribosomal RNA (543 nucleotides) under uncultured bacterium. RNAcentral describes it as "bacterial SSU rRNA". It matches the Rfam family "Bacterial small subunit ribosomal RNA", at positions 777 to 1317 of the family's 1533-position model. The record is from RNAcentral.